Non-coding RNA from Vicugna pacos (alpaca), 463 nucleotides. The record is from RefSeq and is a predicted model, not a curated record. NCBI's taxonomy places the organism in Eukaryota, Metazoa, Chordata, Mammalia, Artiodactyla, Camelidae.
AGCUGACCUUCAAGAAGUCCAGCCACGUCCAGGAAACUGGUGAGUGCGGAGGCCCCAGCUGUCUGGGAAGAAGCUACCCACAAUCAGACUAGCUUGUGCUGUCAUGUUCUGGGGGCCCCACUAUGGGACGCCCCCUAGAGGCUCUCCGUGGACCCCAGGACUGAGUGCAAUGAGCAGAGAGGGCUUUUCUUUACCUGGUGUGCAGGCCCCAUCAGGCAGCCUCAUUUGAAGGUACAUCCUGGCCAACUUGAAGGCUUUUGGUGGAACUAUCAAAAGGCACUCACUGAUCCUUUAUGGAUGUGAGAGAAGUAACGUUGAAUCUGAGAGAGGAAACCUGGUUUGAUCAGGCAAGACUGUGACACUGUUAACGCUCAGUGUCUCUGCAGAGAAUCACUCGCCUCUGAACUGAAUUUAGAAUUAGGACUCUGUUUCUGUAAGGCUUAGAAACAAAUAUCCUUGGAGG